UUAAGCAAAAAAGAGCGCAGGGUGGAUGCCUUGGCACUAAGAGCCGAAGAAAGACGUGAUAAGCUGCGAAAAGCUGCGGGGAGAUGCAAAUAAUCCUUGAUCCGCAGAUGUCUGAAUGGGGAAACCCGGUACGAAGAACUCGUAUCAUCCAUACGCCAAUCCAUAACGUAUGGAGGGGAACCCGGUGAACUGAAACAUCUAAGUAGCCGGAGGAAGAGAAAGAAACAUCGAUUUUGUUAGUAGCGGCGAGCGAAAGCGAAAGAGGCCAAACCGGAGUGCGUGCACUCCGGGGUUCGGACCGCAUUUAAGAUUCAGUGAUUCUAGCAGAAAGGUUUGGGAAAGCCUGCCGGAGAGGGUGAAAGCCCCGUAAGCGAAAGGAGAGCUGACUGAGCGGAAUCCAGAGUACAUCGAGACACGAGAAACCUUGAUGGAAUGAGCGGGGACCACCCCGUAAGCCUAAAUACUACUUAGUGACCGAUAGCGCAUAGUACUGUGAAGGAAAGGUGAAAAGGACCCCGGGAGGGGAGUGAAAGAGAACCUGAAACCCUGUGUUUACAAGCUGUGGAAGUUCUUUAAAUGAACAACCGCGUACUUUUUGUAGAACGGUCCGGCGAGUUGCGGAUACUGGCAAGGUUAAGCACUUAAGGUGCGGAGCCGAAGGGAUACCAAGUCUUAACAGGGCGUUAAGUCAGUAUACGCAGACCCGAAACCGGGUGAUCUAUCCAUGUCCAGGUUGAAGUUGUCGUAAAAGACAAUGGAGGACCGAAGCCACAUCCGUUGAAAAGGGUGGGCAUGAGGUGUGGAUAGGGGAGAAAUUCCAAUCGAACCCGGAGAUAGCUGGUUCUCCUCGAAAUAGCUUUAGGGCUAGCCUCGAUUUAGUCUUAUGGAGGUAGAGCACUGAAUUUCCGCGGGGGCGUCAAAGCUUACCAAAGAAUAUCAAACUCCGAAUGCCAUGUAGAUGAUGAUCGGGAGUCAGACUGCACGAGAUAAGUUGGGCAGUCAAAAGGGAAAGAGCCCAGACCACCGGCUAAGGUCCCAAAGUGCGUGUUAAGUGGAAAAGGAUGUGGGAAUUCGAAGACAACUAGGAUGUUGGCUCAGAAGCAGCCAUACAUUCAAAGAGUGCGUAACAGCUCACUAGUCGAGAGUUCCUGCGCCGAAAAUGUCCGGGGCUGAAACACGACACCGAAGCCGUGGACUCGCAAUGCGAGUGGUAGAGGAGCAUUCUUAAAACCGACGAAGCUGUACCGAAAGGAGCAGUGGAGGGAUAAGAAGAGAGAAUGCCGGAAUGAGUAGCGAGAGAAAGGUGGGAAUCCUUUCGGCCGAAUAUCUAAGGUUUCCAGAGUAAAGCUGAUCUGCUCUGGGUAAGUCGGGGCCUAAGCACAGGUCGCAAGACGUAAGCGAUGGAUAACAGGUUUAGAUUCCUGUACCACGCAUUAUCAGAACUGUAGGGACGCAUGUGGAAAGCACGGGCCGGGAAUGGAAAGACCGGUACAAGCGGGGUAGGUGUACAACAGGCAAAUCCGUUGUAUAAUCCGAAGACGUGAUGUGGAGCGAAAUAAAGUAGCAAAGCGUGUGAGCCAUGUGACGAGAAAAGCUGCUAUUGUGUAAUGCGUGCCCGUACCGUAAACCGACACAGGUGGAUGAGGAGAGAAUCCUAAGGCCGACGGAAGAAGCAUUGUUAAGGAAUUCGGCAAAAUGACCCCGUAACUUCGGGAGAAGGGGUGCCUGCGAGAGCAGGCCGCAGAGAAUAGGCUCAAGCAACUGUUUAGCAAAAACACAGGUCUAUGCGAAACCGAAAGGUGAAGUAUAUGGGCUGACGCCUGCCCGGUGCUGGAAGGUUAAGAGGAGAGGUUAGCGUAAGCGAAGCUUUGAAUUUAAGCCCCAGUAAACGGCGGCCGUAACUAUAACGGUCCUAAGGUAGCGAAAUUCCUUGUC
This 1935-nucleotide ribosomal RNA is filed under the name human gut metagenome. RNAcentral describes it as "bacterial LSU rRNA". It matches the Rfam family "Bacterial large subunit ribosomal RNA", at positions 3 to 1973 of the family's 2925-position model. The record is from RNAcentral.